CGAGCUGCUUCUUUUGCAGGCAACUCUGGCGCUGUGGGUGAUUGUCCAGGUGCCCGAGUGCCACGAGGCAAUGAUCCUUUAUUCAGCCCGCCUGUUUGUGACUCUGCUCUUCCAAGUUGUCAUCACCACACAGCAGGUGCCAGAGGAAGUUGAUCACUUCUGGAGAGCAUGCCGGGAGGAACACCGCCUUCCCACCAACCCCAACAGGCCAGAAGAAUGGGCAGCCUGUCUCAACGGCUUGUGGAGCUGCUGGGUGAUGCAGAUGGAGAGGUGGUCAGGAUGUCCCUCUCUGUGUUCAUGAAUGUGCUGGAGAACAAAGACAUCCUGGUAUCCAGCACCACUGCCCCGAAACUGGCUGAGGCACUCUUGCCACUCUUUGAAAAUGUAAGGCUCUGUGCCCCCAGCCACUGACACUGGCUGCUGCCCAGACACUUUGUGCCCUGUGGAUUUUUAGGCCGUUGCCCACAUGGGCUGGAGAAGUUGCUGCUGAGGUUUUUUCCUUUACUCC
Molecule: long non-coding RNA, 508 nt
Filed under: Corvus moneduloides (New Caledonian crow)
Lineage: Eukaryota; Metazoa; Chordata; Aves; Passeriformes; Corvidae
Description: lncRNA (ENSCMUG00000018943.1)
Source: RNAcentral